RNAcentral lists this ribosomal RNA (1514 nucleotides) under uncultured Bordetella sp. RNAcentral describes it as "partial 16S-23S ribosomal RNA intergenic spacer". It matches the Rfam family "Bacterial small subunit ribosomal RNA". The record is from RNAcentral. Lineage: Bacteria; Pseudomonadati; Pseudomonadota; Betaproteobacteria; Burkholderiales; Alcaligenaceae.
GGUUUGAUUCUGGCUCAAGAUUGAACGCUGGCGGGAUGCUUUACACAUGCAAAUCGAACGGCAGCACGGACUUCGGUCUGGUGGCGAGUGGCGAAACGGGUGAGUAAUGUACGGAACGUGCCUAGUAGCGGGGAUAUACCGCGAAAGCGUAGCUAAUACCGCAUACGCCCUUCGGGGGAAAGCGGGGGGGACCUUCGGGCCUCGCACUAUUCGACGGCGAUAUCGGAUUAGCUAGUUGAAUUGUGGGGCGACGGCUCACCAAGGCGACGAUCCGUAGCUGGUUUGAGAGGACGACCAGCCACACUGGGACUGAGACACGGCCCAGACUCCUACAUGGAAAGCAGCAGUGGGGAAUUUGGAUCUGUCGGGGCUUAUGAUUGACGCCAUCCACGUGGCGACGUCGGAGGCCUUCGAAGUUUUCUUGUGCCGCCUUUGGCGCGGAAAAACGGCGCAGGACGCGUAACCCAGUGCAUGCAACGGGCGAUACCUCUGCCGAUCAGCACCGGCUAACUACGUGCCAGCAACCGCGGUAGCCGUAAGUGCAAGCGUUAAUCCGGAAUUACUGGGCAAAGAAGCAUGCGCAGGCGGUUCGGAGAGAAAGAUGUGAAAUCCCAGGCUUAACUUUUGGAACUGCCCAUUUUUAACUACCGAGCUAGAGUGUGUCAGAGAAAGGGAGGUGGAAUUCCGCGGUAGCAGUGAAAUGCGUAGAUAUGCGGAGGAACACCGAUGGCGAGGCAGCCUCCUGGGAUAACGCGACGCUCAUGCACGAAAAGCGUGAGGCAAACGGGAUUAGAUACCUGGUGAUCCACGCCCCAACGAUGUCAACUAGCUGUUGGGGCCUUCGGGCCUUGGUAGCGCAACUAACGCGUGAAGUUGACCGCCUGGGGGUGAUCGCAAGAUUAAAACUCAAGGAAUUGACGGGGACCCGCACAAGCGGUGGAUGAUGUGGAUUAAUUCGAUGCAACUGGUACAGAAAAACCCACCUACCCUUGACGUAAUGUCUGGAAUCCCAGAAGAGAUUUAAGGUGCUCGCAAGAGAACCGGAACACGGGUGCUGCAUAUGUGUGUGUCGUCUAUUUCGUGUCGUGAGAUGUUGGGUUAGAAGUCCCGCAAUGACGCAACCCUUGUCAUUAGUUGCUUUUACGAAAGGGCACUCCUAAUGAGACUGCCGGUGACAAACCGGAGGAAGGUGGGGAUGACGUCAAGUCCUCAUGGCCCUUAUGGUGGGGCUUCACACGUCAUACAAUGGUCGGGACAGAGGGUCGCCAACCCGCGAGGGGGAGCCAAUCCCCGAGGAAACCCGAUCGUAGUCCGGAUCGCAGUCUGCAACUCGACUGCGUGAAGUCAGAAUCGCUAGUAAUCGCGGAUCAGCAUGUCGCGGUAGACCGUUCCCGGGUCUUGUACACACCGCCCAUCACACCAUGGGAGUGGGUUUUACCAGAAGUAGUUAGCCUAGCCGUAAGGAGGGCGAAUUACCACGGUAGGAUUCAUGACGGUGAAGUCGUAACAGGUAG